UAUCAAUAAGCGGAGGAAAAGAAACCAACAGGGAUUGCCCUAGUAACGGCGAGUGAAGCGGCAACAGCUCAAAUUUGAAAUCUGGCUCUCGGGCCCGAGUUGUAAUUUGUAGAGGAUACUUUUGAUGCGGUGCCUUCCGAGUUCCCUGGAACGGGACGCCAUAGAGGGUGAGAGCCCCGUCUGGUUGGAUGCCAAAUCUCUGUAAAGUUCCUUCAACGAGUCGAGUAGUUUGGGAAUGCUGCUCUAAAUGGGAGGUAUAUGUCUUCUAAAGCUAAAUACCGGCCAGAGACCGAUAGCGCACAAGUAGAGUGAUCGAAAGAUGAAAAGCACUUUGAAAAGAGAGUUAAAAAGUACGUGAAAUUGUUGAAAGGGAAGCGUUUAUGACCAGACUUGGGCUUGGUUAAUCAUCUGGGGUUCUCCCCAGUGCACUUUUCCAGUCCAGGCCAGCAUCAGUUUUCCCCGGGGGAUAAAGGCGGCGGGAAUGUGGCUCUCUUCGGGGAGUGUUAUAGCCCACCGUGUAAUACCCUGGGGGGGACUGAGGUUCGCGCAUCUGCAAGGAUGCUGGCGUAAUGGUCAUCAACGACCCGUCUUGAAACACGGACCAAGGAGUCGUCUUCGUAUGCGAGUGUUCGGGUGUCAAACCCCUACGCGUAAUGAAAGUGAACGCAGGUGAGAGCUUCGGCGCAUCAUCGACCGAUCCUGAUGUUCUCGGAUGGAUUUGAGUAAGAGCAUACGGGGCCGGACCCGAAAGAAGGUGAACUAUGCCUGUAUAGGGUGAAGCCAGAGGAAACUCUGGUGGAGGCUCGCAGCGGUUCUGACGUGCAAAUCGAUCGUCAAAUAUGGGCAUGGGGGCGAAAGACUAAUCGAACCUUCUAGUAGCUGGGUUUCCGC
RNAcentral lists this ribosomal RNA (891 nucleotides) under Fusarium oxysporum. RNAcentral describes it as "28S rRNA". It matches the Rfam family "Eukaryotic large subunit ribosomal RNA", at positions 41 to 961 of the family's 3401-position model. Lineage: Eukaryota; Fungi; Ascomycota; Sordariomycetes; Hypocreales; Nectriaceae. The record is from RNAcentral.